UACGUAGGGUGCGAGCGUUGUUCGGAAUUAUUGGGCGUAAAGAGCUUGUAGGCGGUUUGUCGCGUCUGCUGUGAAAAUCCGGGGCUCAACCCCGGACUUGCAGUGGGUACGGGCAGGCUAGAGUGUGGUAGGGGAGACUGGAAUUCCUGGUGUAGCGGUGAAAUGCGCAGAUAUCAGGAGGAACACCGAUGGCGAAGGCAGGUCUCUGGGCCACUACUGACGCUGAGGAGCGAAAGCGUGGGGAGCGAACAGG
This 253-nucleotide ribosomal RNA is filed under the name uncultured bacterium. RNAcentral's name for it is "partial 16S ribosomal RNA". It matches the Rfam family "Bacterial small subunit ribosomal RNA", at positions 524 to 776 of the family's 1533-position model. The record is from RNAcentral.